Long non-coding RNA from Anas platyrhynchos (mallard), 1578 nucleotides. RefSeq lists it as uncharacterized. The record is from RefSeq and is a predicted model, not a curated record. NCBI's taxonomy places the organism in Eukaryota, Metazoa, Chordata, Aves, Anseriformes, Anatidae.
CCAGGUGGUUGUAGCAGGUGGCUUCCAACCUCCUAUGUGUGUGAGGGGCACUAUAAAGUGCCUUCCUCCAGCUGACACCCCUGCCAGGCUUGCUACAACAGCCCCACAGUUUUUUUUUUUACUCCCAAGGAGCCUCAACUGCACUCACCAGCUGCUUACAGAGCCCAAGAAAUCCCUCUGGCAGUCACAACCAGAAGACUUCUAUCUUGCACAGAGGAGGAGAAAAUCCUUGAAAUCUGGAUACCUCAAAAAACAGCUGAUACCCUCUCAAAAAAUAUUGCGUUUCUUCCUGAUUCUCUUCACCUGAUGCCUUGUAAUUGCCAUGCUCAGGCAGUGACGAGUUCACCAGAACAACAGUACCAUUUUUUGGGGAUUUGGAAGGAACUGUGAGCACUGGCCUGGUGGUGAGGCUGGUUGCCCAGGCUGGUGUCUUCUUCGGUUGGCAUCUGGGGAGGCUGCAUGGGGGCAGCAGGAGCCUGCGGGGACCUAUCUUCAUCCCUGGCAUCCCCUGUUCCUCGGGGAGAUUGUGGCAAGGAGGCAGCAGCUGCUGAAGAAGAAGCCACGAGGUGGCCCAGGAGUGGGUGAGCCUGGAGCAAGGGCGGCAGCACAGGACGUUUUUGUGUCCCCAGGCUGAGCAGAGAGGGGUCCCUCUGCCUCAGGCUGGUGGCCACGAGUACCCCAGGGGCUCCACAGAAUGUGUGUGGCCUCUUGGAAAGAUGCCCACACUCCCCAGAACUCUGUCUCCUGGCCAACGUUGAGAUGCACUUGAAUGAGACUUGAGUUUGGAUGAAGCUGGUUCAAGCAGAUCCUCAGUUUUACUUAGUUAUGCAGUGCUAAGAACGAAUAGCAUCCAAGUUUCUGCCAGAAACAAAUGUAUGUUUGCACAGAUUGAAAAGGUUACCUGGUUUCACUCCAUCCGAGAUGGGUUAUUUACUAUAAAUAUGUUUGCACUGGAGUUGUGAAAAUUAAGGCAUGUUGAUUGAAAACCUUACAGCAGAUGUUGUCUUAGCAUCCCCCAGGAAACUGUCACAAUCGUCUUUUCUUAAUGUGGAAGUGACACUUGCUUCAGAAACAGUUUGGGAAAUGAAUGUUGCACUGAGGAGGGGUUUGUGUUGUGUUGCCAGCGGAAUAUCAUAUGCCUGUUUGAUGCAUUAAGCAACAUGUAAAAAUUUAAUCAAAAGCACAUUUAUUAUACAUGAUAGUAAAAAAAAAAAAAAAAAAAAAAAAGAAAAAACAAAACCAACCAGCAAGGGCUUCUGCUACUCAUUAACUUCCUUAAAAAUGGCUGGAGAGAAAAGGGAAAGUGCCUGCGCCUAGCAAAAAGGCUUGGAAAUAAAAGUGCCGUCAUUAGCAUCACUGACCUAAAAAAAGAUUUGGCUUAGGAGUGAGCUCCCCCAGCAAAACUUCAUGUCUAGGCGAGCAGGAAAAAAUAGUCGAGGGGAUCCUAACACACUUGGGGUCUCCAUCUGCUGGGGUCCCUUCCCUGAGCAAGCAGGCAGCUGGGUUGGGGAGAGCGAGGAUGCAUCAAAUGGUGCUGGCAGGGACAGGGGCGCACCCUCUGCAGCGAGGGGUUGGGCA